Molecule: ribosomal RNA, 514 nt
Filed under: uncultured bacterium
Lineage: Bacteria
Description: bacterial SSU rRNA
Rfam family: Bacterial small subunit ribosomal RNA
Source: RNAcentral
AGAGUUUGAUUAUGGCUCAGGAUGAACGCUGGCGGCGUGCCUAAUACAUGCAAGUCGAACGAGGUAGCAAUACCGAGUGGCGAACGGGUGAGUAACACGUAGGUAACCUGCCUUACAGUUUGGGAUACCCUGGCGAAAGCUAGGCUAAUACCGAAUAAUUGGAUUGGAGGCAUCUCCGAUCUCUAAAAGGGGCCCUUAAAGCCUCGCUGAAUGAUGGACCUGCGGCGCAUUAGCUAGUUGGUGAGAUAAUAGCCCACCAAGGCGAGGAUGCGUAGCCGACCUGAGAGGGUGAACGGCCACACUGGAACUGAGACACGGUCCAGACUCCUACGGGAGGCAGCAGUAGGGAGUUUUCGGCAAUGGGGGCAACCCUGACCGAGCAACGCCGCGUGAAUGAUGAAGGUCUUCGGAUUGUAAAGUUCUGUUAUAAGGGAAAAAUGAUAGGGUGAGGAAAUGCUCUCUAUUUGAUGGUACCUUAUUAGAAAGCCACGGCUAACUACGUGCCAGCCGCCGC